GCCUGGCCGUAAAUCUUGAUGCUUUAUCUAACCUGAGCAUCCGCCCGAGAACUACGAGCGCAAACGCUUAAAACUCUAAGGACUUGGCGGUGCCCCAAAUCCACCUAGAGGAGCCUGUUCUGUAAUCGAUGAUCCACGAUACACCCGACCAUUCCUUGCAAAAACAGCCUAUAUACCGCCGUCGCCAGCUCACCCUGCUUGAAGGUCCAACAGUGAACGCAAUAGCCUUUACCACGCUAAAAAGACAGGUCAAGGUAUAGCCUAUGGAAUGGAAGCAAUGGGCUACAUUUUCUAGCAUAGAACAGCACGGCAAAGGGGCAUGAAACUGCCCCUGGAAGGAGGAUUUAGCAGUAAAGUGGGAUAAUAGAGCCCUCUUUAAGCCGGCCCUGGGACACGU
RNAcentral lists this ribosomal RNA (397 nucleotides) under Melidectes belfordi (Belford's melidectes). Its description in RNAcentral is "partial 12S ribosomal RNA". It matches the Rfam family "Bacterial small subunit ribosomal RNA", at positions 794 to 1384 of the family's 1533-position model. Lineage: Eukaryota; Metazoa; Chordata; Aves; Passeriformes; Meliphagidae. The record is from RNAcentral.